UCUCUAUUUUCUGAAUUCGCUAUGUAUAAAGGCAAUUUUGUUAUCAUGGUUUUUUCAUACUUAAAGUUACUUCAAUUACAGUAUAAUUUAGGGAAGGGGAUAAACAUUUCUGUCGAAAUAUUAAAGUAACCUAGGUAAUAUUCUGCAAAUGUAAUUGUAUUUUGAAACUAAGAAAAAGUUACAAGAUUUAAAAAAAAAUCUAAAUGUAAAUAUAGAGGAGAAACUAGGCUCACUUUGGGGAGAGGUGUAGUGAAGGAAAAUCUUUUGGUCAUAUGACUUAAAAUUUCAAUUUAGUUCUCUGGCAGCACUAAAGAGAAUUGAUUUACAUUUGUUUUGUAUCACUGCAGAAAAUCCAAGCAGGGAGUUGGCCGUCAAAUAAUUAUUCUCUCUGCUGUGGUUUUCUGCGGAGUCCUGUCAAGUAACUGAAGUUUCUUUUUCUGCACAGGAAGGGAAAGGCCCUCUGUGUCGUGGCUUCUAUCACUGGUAGAUCUGCAAUAUGUUACACUUCACCUGAAGAGAAGUGAAAACAGAGAGCUCUCUAACAGCAGGUCCCAUUUACACCACAUAUCAGAGAGUUGGAGAGGUGACAAUGUGAGCAAUGUGAGGAGGACAUGGCAGCCCCAUGCGGAGGAGAGACGUCUGUGUGAAGUUUGCUCUGUUUGCACAGGAGUCGAGUAUCAGUUCUGCUUUCUUUGUUCAGGGAAAACUAGUCAACAGUGCAAGAAGGUGAUCAGCGCAAGCUUUACUUAAUAUCAUGGCUUUUGUUUUGUUUGUAAAACUUCUGGAUCCACACACACACCAGUUUGGACUUGAUCUCAACUUAAAGCGGAUCUGAUCUGAUGCUGGGUUGGGAGGACAUAUCCUAGACUGCAGCAUCGCCUUGUUAUGUCUUACCUACAUCUGUUACUAAUGGUGUAUCAAAGGCCACCCCCAAAUUUUAGAUUGUUGUAGAAUAAUGCCGUAGGACAUGCGUUAAGAGGUAGGUACCAACAAUCCAUGUGUCACUUUGCAAAGCGUAAGUAUCGAAAUUCCCUGUUAUGGAAAUAAUUCUUUGGGGAGUGGAACUGUGAAAAUAAUUUCAACAUAGUUUCACCUCAUCUUUGUGAUUUUUUGAUGCAUUGCAACAAGGGGUUCUGUUUAUCAUGUUCUUUUUUUUAAAAAGCUAGUGAAGGAUUGGAAUAUUUUUUUAAAACCCAGGUGCCGUUGGAGACACUAGAACAGGAUGCUGGAAAAUAAGCGAAAGGAUUGUGUUUAUUUUCACAGUCUCCAAGGUGAAAUCCCUCCUUGGCAGCUGGCUUAGGAAAGAAUGGGAGGGGAGACCGUAAUGAGCUGAAAGCACCCUCAGCUGGAGACAAAUAUAUGCAAAUGAGAUGCACAAACAAAGGCGCCUGGACAGAGAAAUAUCUGCCAUUCCAGCAAAAUGCUGCCUGCAGCUAGAAGAUGAACAGCUUUGAUAAAAUGGUAACAGAAAGCACCUUUUUAUCCUCCAGCUUGUUUUACAUUGCAAUAGACCAUUGUCAUUGGAACCCAUUAGAGCAUGCAGAGGGUCUCUGCCCUGGUUGCAGGCGUGGGUGGCAGGGCUGCAGAAACACUUGUUUCCAUGCUUCGUGAAAUAUAAUCACUGUGGAUGGAGACACAGGCAGAUAGAGAGAUAUCUCUCUCCUCCCCCCCUCCGCCCCUUUGCCUUUGGUAGAUUGUCAAGUUUAUUUUACAUGUUUCUUGGUCUUUGGGACACUGCAUUUUGUUUUGUGCAUUUCCCCUCUGAGUAAGCAUUGCCACACCAAAGGGGACAAUGCUGCUCUUUGAUAAAGAUUUUACAGACAGAAAACUCACUAGUUGUCAACCAGAGUGGGAACAGCACCCAAACAGCCCGCCUUCAUGAAGGCAAUCAAGUCUCUCCUGCUAAUUCAAUGACAAGACCUGGGACAUGCUGAUUUUAAUAAGCUCUCAAAGGCAAUCUACGACUUUUAAAAGUCGCUCUUUUUAAUUAAAUUGCAUGGGCGUCAUAUAUUGCCACAUCCAUCCCGUUACAGCUGUUUCCAAAUGUGUGUGUGUGUGUGUAAAUAAGACAGAAAUAAAACAACAGUUUUCUGUUCAGAUUUCUGGAUUCUCACAGAAAUUUCUUUUAAAAAAUCUCAGAGUGGCACAGUAAUGCUCUAACUGCAAUAAUCCAUGCAAAUUUUCAUUUUGCUUAUUAGACAUAAUAUUUUGAUUACAGAGCUUUGCCAUUGGAAUAUUUCUCUUAUAUUCAUUUUAAUUGUUGAGGUGAGUGCAUGAUGGAUAAAUGGAAAGAUAUAUAUAUAUACAAGUCUAUAUCUUUCAAACUAACACUUGACUUAAUUAGAGCUUUCAUUCAGAAUCUCUGCUCCAAUGUUUUUAUGUCCAUAGAAUUUUUAAAAAUUCUCCCUUCAAGGCAUGCUUGGAAAAUCUGAAUGUUUAUAGUUGUGAUACUAGGAAGUUUGUUUGUUUUCCCUAUGCCUGAGCAUGUGGUCCAUUUUUUAUAUGUUCACAACUGCAAUGUAAACUAAAAUGUGCAUGCUAUGUUUAUGUCUCCACAAAUUCUAUUUUUAACAGUACACAAAUCUCUUUUUUCUUAAUCAUAGGUUCCUUAUCUUCAGAGCCUCAAGAGUUAAGUGAAACCCGGUUGUAUUAAGAAAGAUUUCUCCUCCCGCUCAGGUUUGAAGCAGUGGCUGUGUUAUUACAUUCAGUGGCUGUUGUUUAGAAAGGACAAGCCGCAUCUUAGGCACAGAACAAUGAAAUUACAGCUGAGAUUUAGGUUAGCAAACGCCUUCUUCCGCAGGCUUUUAUGAUUCAUUAUUUCCCAUUAAAUACAGUAUUAGAAGUGUACACCAGAUAGCUCAUGGUUGCUGCUCUCCGAGCACAUUAUCUAUAUUACACAGGCCUGGGGAGCAGAAUUAGAAAACUUUUGGGGAAUGAGCAAUAUGUGUUUGCUGAUAGAAGUACCAUAUGGCUCAUCUUCAUCAAUUGCUUUCAUUGCGACUCGGAUGCUGGAGAAAUUAAAGUUUUAUUUGAUGUGGCACUGCUUAAUGAACUGUCUUCUGUUAGGAAAAUUGAAUAUGUUUCCUGUUAUUUGAGUGCAGAGCCCUCAUGGUUUGGGGUUGAUGAGGGAUGCAUUAUGUAUUGUUUAUUUUAGCAUUUUGAAAACAAAAGCCAAAUAUUGAAGAUAAAAUUGUGUUGCAUUAGAGCUACCUUUCCACAUUUUUUUCCUACUUGGUUUUCUUACACAAUCAUAGACCCCCUUUUUAAAUUUUUCAGUUUGUCAUUAUGUUCAUUAUUUAAGUGGUGGAAUGAUUGUAUACUUUUUGAUAUUUUCUUUUGGUAUGAAAUAUAUAUUGAAUCACUUCAUGUAAUCCCUGUAUUACAAUUUUUAAGCAUAUGGUAGAAUCAUCAGUAAAAAAAAGGAAAUGUUUCUUAUAAGCUUUCUUGGUUAACUUUUGAUUGCAACCCCCCCCCCCCUUGGGAAGUUUUAAAUGCUUGAGUAAUUUGUGUUGAGAUAUGCUUUCUUGUGAGCAUAACAUGCCAAAAAUGGCUGGGAAGAAAAAUCUAGGUGAUUGUCUACAGAAGGGUAAAAACAUCUGAACCUUUUCUAAGCAUGCAUCUCCAAAUUAUAUAGUUAUGAUAUCACUCUAAGUUGCUAUCUGUAACACAGUAAAAAUUAUAUUGGAGGGUGAGGGGGAAGAAAAUGUAGAUUGUUACCAAAUGAUCUGCUUCCAUUUAGGUUAAUUAAGUUUCAGCAACAAAAAAUUGAAACUCGGAUAAAUUCAGAAUAAAAGUAUAAAUUUAAGAUGGUUAAAAUCAAACCAUAACAUUUGACAUUUGUAGCAAAGUUGUAUAUUACAGUAGUUAAUUUGCUAAUUAGUGAUUCAGCACAGGCAUGUUUUAAUUUGGGGGAGGAAAAGGGGGGAGGCAUGUGAACCAUGCUGGAAAUUUUCCAAGGCGUUCCAGAGUCAACUUUGAACAAAUAAGAGGGAUCCCCUUCUCCUCAAGCUUUUCGGCACUUCCAUCUCAGCCAGAAAUAAACAAACAGAUUUGUGUAUGUUUGUGUAAUGUGUCUUUUCAGUUAAGAUGAGACAAAUGUUUCACUGGUUGUAUUUUAGAGUCCUGUUUGACAUAAAAAGCAAUUUCUCCUUUAUACUCUCUGAUAUGUUUUUUCCCUUUUUUAUAAGCAAUGGCUCCUAUUCCACAAAUGCCCUUUGGUUUCUAAAUGAUGUCUAGUAUUAGAAGUAGACUAUAUUAUUGUUUGUGGUUGCAGAGGAAAACUCCACCACGUGCAUCAAAGAAAAGUGAAGAAGAGCAGUGCCUUUGUCUUUCUGCUUUUGUUGGAGAGGCAGCAGUAAAAAUAAAACCCGUCUUUGUUUUCCA
This is a long non-coding RNA of Anolis carolinensis (green anole), 4383 nucleotides long. RefSeq lists it as uncharacterized. NCBI's taxonomy places the organism in Eukaryota, Metazoa, Chordata, Lepidosauria, Squamata, Anolidae. The record is from RefSeq and is a predicted model, not a curated record. The transcript has 2 exons.